GACGAACGCUGGCGGCGUGCUUAACACAUGCAAGUCGAACGGAAAGGCCCUGCUUGCAGGGUACUCGAGUGGCGAACGGGUGAGUAACACGUGGGUGAUCUGCCCUGCACUUCGGGAUAAGCCUGGGAAACUGGGUCUAAUACCGGAUAGGAGCCAUUUUUAGUGUGAUGGUUGGAAAGUUUUUUCGGUGUAGGAUGAGCUCGCGGCCUAUCAGCUUGUUGGUGGGGUAAUGGCCUACCAAGGCGGCGACGGGUAGCCGGCCUGAGAGGGUGGACGGCCACAUUGGGACUGAGAUACGGCACAGACGCCGACGGGAGGCAGCAGUGGGGAAUAUUGCACAAUGGGCGCAAGCCGGAUGCAGCGACGCCGCGUGGGGGAUGACGGCCUUCGGGUUGUAAACUCCUUUCGCUAGGGACGAAGCUUUUUGUGACGGUACCUAGAUAAGAAGCACCGGCUAACUACGUG
Molecule: ribosomal RNA, 465 nt
Filed under: uncultured bacterium
Lineage: Bacteria
Description: partial 16S ribosomal RNA
Rfam family: Bacterial small subunit ribosomal RNA
Source: RNAcentral